AAUUAGAGGCUGGAAUGAAUGAAUAUACGAGAGUUUAGCUGUUUCAUUUUUAUUUCUAAAAAUUAUCCUUUAAGUGAAGAGACUUAGAUACUAUAAAAAGACAAAAAGACCCUAUUGAGCUUUAUUUUACAAGUUAAACUCCUAUAGUUUUACAAAAGAACUUUAUCUAUAAAAAUUUUGUUGGGGCGACAAGAGAAGACCUAAAUCUUCUCUACACUAUAAGAAAAUUCUUCUACUAAUGAUCCGUAAUAACGAUUAACAGAAACAGCUACCAUAGGGAUAACAGGCUAAUCUUCUUUGAGAGUCCAAAUUGACAAGAAGGAUUGGCACCUCGAUGUUGGCUUAGGAUACCUGUUAGAUGCAGAAGUCUUCCAAGUGGGUUUGUUCAACCUUUAAUAUCCUACGUGAUCUGAGUUC
Molecule: ribosomal RNA, 417 nt
Filed under: Marenzelleria wireni
Lineage: Eukaryota; Metazoa; Annelida; Polychaeta; Spionida; Spionidae
Description: partial 16S ribosomal RNA
Rfam family: Bacterial large subunit ribosomal RNA (bases 69-417)
Source: RNAcentral